UACGAAGGGGGCUAGCGUUGUUCGGAAUUACUGGGCGUAAAGCGCACGUAGGCGGAUCAUUAAGUCAGGGGUGAAAUCCCGGGGCUCAACCUCGGAAUUGCCUUUGAUACUGAUGAUCUCGAGUCCGAGAGAGGUGAGUGGAACUCCGAGUGUAGAGGUGAAAUUCGUAGAUAUUCGGAAGAACACCAGUGGCGAAGGCGGCUCACUGGCUCGGUACUGACGCUGAGGUGCGAAAGCGUGGGGAGCAAACAGG
This 253-nucleotide ribosomal RNA is filed under the name uncultured bacterium. RNAcentral's name for it is "partial 16S ribosomal RNA". It matches the Rfam family "Bacterial small subunit ribosomal RNA", at positions 524 to 776 of the family's 1533-position model. The record is from RNAcentral.